UGUGCCCUCAAGACCGCCUUACAAAACCAAUUAUCACGUGAUUGCAAUAACACAUUUCUGUGAAGGUCUCUGCUUGGAUGUUACUUCCUCUUGCAUCAAUACCUCAAGACUUCAAAUACCUGACAUGGUUAUUACAACAUAGGAGAUACUUAGCAAAUUAUUUGCUGAACAAAUGAAUGACUGAAUAUAUGAUUGUUAUUUUAAAAGGAUACUUUGUGUAUAAAGCUGCUUUGAUGAUGUAGAUAUAAAUUACGUUUGAAUGUGCAAAACUGAAAUUCUAUCUAUUAGAUGGUUAUAAAAUUUGCUAUUAUUUUAGCCAUUAUUUUCUUCCAGAAACAUGUUGCAUUGUGGUAAACAUAUUUAUAUACAGUACUAAUUAACAAUCAAAUACGUGACACUUCCUUUGCAUUGCUCCUUUUUCGACGAGGCUUUUUAUUGAGAAUGAAGUUGUCUAAAUUCAAAAAGCUUACCUUACAUAUCAUGACUUAAGAUCAUCUGACUGUGAACUUAAAAGCAAUAUAAUUUGAAACAUUAGCUCAACUAUUGCUUUAGACUUUAUUCAUCUAACCCUGCAGUCAUGGAUGUCAUUAAUUCAAUGAGUAGAAAUCUAUUGUACAACAAAAUUUACAGAGAAUAAAUGGGUUAUUCAUUCAAUUUGUCAAAAAUACUAUCUCUUGGCUGGGUGCCAUGACUCACACCUUUAAUACCAGCACUUCAGGAGGCUGAAAUGGGAGAUCACUUGAGGCCAAGAGUUUGAGACUAGCCUGGGCAGCAUAGGAAGACCCUCACUUCCACCAAAAAAAUAAUAGCCAGGCAUGGUGGUGCAUACCUAUAGUCCUAGCUGCUUGGGAGGUGGAGGCAGGGGCAUCACUUGAGCCUAGGAGUUCAAGGCUGCCGUGAGCUAUGACCCCUUCACUCCAGCCUGGGCAACAGUGGGAGACCCCAUCUCUUUAAAAAAUACCUUCUCUUCAUACUUAGAAUGGAAUACAAAAAAGAGAAAUAGUAAAACCAAAUGGAAUAUUGUUCUUUCCUUUCUUAAGCCUUUUAUUUCUCUAUCUUAGAAUGUAUAAAGUUCUCAUGCUGAAGUCUCAGAAGUACAAAAGUCUUAAUCUUGCAAUCACAUUACAUGAUAUUUAAAUGGUGACGUUCCUCUGCAUUGAGUCAUAGACAUUAUUCCUUCUCAUUUUCCUUACACACUGUUGAUACUUCUCAAAUUUCUAUUAUUUUUUUAAUUUUUUAAUUUUUUAUUAUUAUUAUACUUUAAGUUUUAGGGCACAUGUGCACAAUGUGCAGGUUAGUUACAUAUGUAUACAUGUGCCAUGCUGGUGUGCUGCACCCAUUAACUCCUCAUUUAGCAUUAGGUAUAUCUCCUAAUGCUAUCCCUCCCCCCUCCCCC
Molecule: long non-coding RNA, 1396 nt
Filed under: Homo sapiens (human)
Lineage: Eukaryota; Metazoa; Chordata; Mammalia; Primates; Hominidae
Description: HSALNT0138795
Source: RNAcentral